Molecule: long non-coding RNA, 1274 nt
Organism: Anopheles funestus (African malaria mosquito)
Lineage: Eukaryota; Metazoa; Arthropoda; Insecta; Diptera; Culicidae
Exons: 3
Source: RefSeq, a predicted model, not a curated record
AAAUUUUGCUGAAUUGCUCAAAAAUGAGCAAAAUUUUACAUUUUCUCAAACAGGGUAAGGAACUUGGUUCCUCGAAUAACUUCCGGCACGGACACCUGAGAGCAUGGCUGUCCAAGAAGAAAAUGUAGCCAUUGGUGCCAUCUAUCGACCACAGGUUAAAGAUUGGCGAUCCGUUUGAUACCGACCGAGUUAUAGGCAAAACUUGGUGCAAAAAUGAGGAAAAUUUUACAUUUUAUCAAACAGGGUAAGGAACUUGGUUCCUCGAAUAACUUCCGGUACGGACACCUGAGAGCAUGGCUGUCCAAGAAGAAAAUGUAGCCCUUGGUGCCAUCUAUCGACCACAGGUUAAAGAUUGGCGAUCCGUUGGAUACCGACCGAGUUAUAGGCAAAACUUGGUGCAAAAAUGAGGAAAAUUUUAUAUUUUAUCAAACAGGGUAAGGAACUUGGUUUCUCGAAUAACUUCCGGUACGGACACCUGAGAGCAUGGCUGUCCAAGAAGAAAAUGUAGCCAUUGGUGCCAUCUAUCGACCACAGGUUAAAGAUUGGCGAUCCGUUGUAUACCGACCGAGUUAUAGGCAAAACUUGGUGCAACAAUGAGCCUUAGUAAAUUUUCAUUUUUUUGAAUUUUUUGAUUUUUUUAUUAUUUUUCACUCUUUUUUUUAUUUAAAGCAUUACUUGAGUGAAAAGAAACACAUUGCAACCAAUUGGCAUUAAAAUAAAUCAAUUUAAUUUUUUUUGCAAAAUUUCCCAAAAAAAACGUAAGGGGUAAGCCUUAUGAAAUUUUCGAGUUGAAAUUUUUUUCAAAUUUUUUUUCUGAUUUUUUAUUAUUUUUCUAAUUUAAAGCAUUAUUUGAGUGAAAAGAAACUUAUUGCAACAAACUCCCAUUAAAAUAUAUCACAUUUUUCAAUUUUGCUACAUUGGUGAAAAAUGAGGAAAAUUUUACAUUUUCUCAAACAGGGUAUGGAACUUGGUUCUUCGAAUAACUUCUGGCACAGACAUCUGAGAGCAUGGCUGUCCAAGAAGAAAAUGUAGCCAUUGGUGCCAUCUAUCGACCACAGGUUAAAGAUUGGCAAUCCGUUGGAUACCGACCGAGUUAUAGGCAAAACUUGCUGCAAAAAUGAGGAAAAUUUUAUAUUUUAUCAAACAGGGUAAGGAACUUGGUUCCUCGAAUAACUUUUGGCACAGACAUCUGAGGGCAUAACCGUUCAUGAAGAAAAUGUAGCCAUUAGUGCCAUCUAUCGACCACAGGUUAAAGAUUGGCGAUCCGUUGGAUA